CACAGGUCGAUCUGCUUCAUGACAACACCAGGGAACGGCAGGAACAUCUAGUCUGAGCCCAAGCCAUGCAGGUUGAAGUUCAGACAAACCAGGCCAGACAGCAUCAACCUCAUCAACUCCACAUGAGUGGCAUGU
This is a long non-coding RNA of Protopterus annectens (West African lungfish), 135 nucleotides long. RefSeq lists it as uncharacterized. The transcript has 3 exons. NCBI's taxonomy places the organism in Eukaryota, Metazoa, Chordata, Ceratodontiformes, Protopteridae. The record is from RefSeq and is a predicted model, not a curated record.